UUCAAAGAGUGCGUAACAGCUCACUAGUCGAGUAUCUCUGCGCCGAAAAUUAACCGGGGCUAAGCGUAAUACCGAAUCUAUGGAUUUAUACUUAGGUAUAAGUGGUAGGGGAGCGUUCCAUACAGCAUUGAAGGUAUACCGUAAGGAGUGCUGGAGCGUAUGGAAGUGAGAAUGCCGGUGUGAGUAGCGAGAUGUGGGUGAGAAUCCCACACACCGAACAACCAAGGUUUCCAGGGGAAGGUUCGUCCGCCCUGGGUAAGUCGGGACCUAAGGCCAGGCCGAAAGGCGUAGUCGAUGGACAGCAGGUUGAUAUUCCUGCACCCGCGAGUAAAGUGAUGGAGUGACAGAUAGGGUUAGCCCUAGUCCUUAAUGGAUUGGGCAAGGCANNNNNNNNNNGGAGAGUGGCGUAGGCAAAUCCGCGCCGGAUACUCAAAGGCUUGACUCAAGCGAACGCGCGAGCAAGUAGUGAAGAGGGCGAUACCAGGUCUCAAGAAAAGCUUCUAGCGAUAAUUUACUAGCGGCCCGUACCAAAACCGACACAGGUGGUUGAGGCGAGUAGCCUAAGGUGAGCGAGAGAACUGUUGCCAAGGAACUCGGCAAAUUGACCCCGUACGUUAGCAAUAAGGGGUGCUCGAAAGAGCCGCAGUGAAU
Molecule: ribosomal RNA, 651 nt
Filed under: Porphyromonas sp.
Lineage: Bacteria; Pseudomonadati; Bacteroidota; Bacteroidia; Bacteroidales; Porphyromonadaceae
Description: partial 23S ribosomal RNA
Rfam family: Bacterial large subunit ribosomal RNA
Source: RNAcentral